This 2782-nucleotide ribosomal RNA is filed under the name Bacillus cereus. Its description in RNAcentral is "23S ribosomal RNA". It matches the Rfam family "Bacterial large subunit ribosomal RNA". Lineage: Bacteria; Bacillati; Bacillota; Bacilli; Caryophanales; Bacillaceae. The record is from RNAcentral.
GGUUAAGUUAGAAAGGGCGCACGGUGGAUGCCUUGACACUAGGAGUCGAUGAAGGACGGGACUAACGCCGAUAUGCUUCGGGGAGCUGUAAGUAAGCUUUGAUCCGAAGAUUUCCGAAUGGGGAAACCCACCAUACGUAAUGGUAUGGUAUCCUUAUCUGAAUACAUAGGGUAAGGAAGACAGACCCAGGGAACUGAAACAUCUAAGUACCUGGAGGAAGAGAAAGCAAAUGCGAUUUCCUGAGUAGCGGCGAGCGAAACGGAACAUAGCCCAAACCAAGAGGCUUGCCUCUUGGGGUUGUAGGACAUUCUAUACGGAGUUACAAAGGAACGAGGUAGACGAAGCGACCUGGAAAGGUCCGUCGUAGAGGGUAACAACCCCGUAGUCGAAACUUCGUUCUCUCUUGAAUGUAUCCUGAGUACGGCGGAACACGUGAAAUUCCGUCGGAAUCUGGGAGGACCAUCUCCCAAGGCUAAAUACUCCCUAGUGAUCGAUAGUGAACCAGUACCGUGAGGGAAAGGUGAAAAGCACCCCGGAAGGGGAGUGAAAGAGAUCCUGAAACCGUGUGCCUACAAAUAGUCAGAGCCCGUUAACGGGUGAUGGCGUGCCUUUUGUAGAAUGAACCGGCGAGUUACGAUCCCGUGCGAGGUUAAGCUGAAGAGGCGGAGCCGCAGCGAAAGCGAGUCUGAAUAGGGCGUUUAGUACGUGGUCGUAGACCCGAAACCAGGUGAUCUACCCAUGUCCAGGGUGAAGUUCAGGUAACACUGAAUGGAGGCCCGAACCCACGCACGUUGAAAAGUGCGGGGAUGAGGUGUGGGUAGCGGAGAAAUUCCAAUCGAACCUGGAGAUAGCUGGUUCUCCCCGAAAUAGCUUUAGGGCUAGCCUUAAGUGUAAGAGUCUUGGAGGUAGAGCACUGAUUGGACUAGGGGUCCUCAUCGGAUUACCGAAUUCAGUCAAACUCCGAAUGCCAAUGACUUAUCCUUAGGAGUCAGACUGCGAGUGAUAAGAUCCGUAGUCAAAAGGGAAACAGCCCAGACCGCCAGCUAAGGUCCCAAAGUGUGUAUUAAGUGGAAAAGGAUGUGGAGUUGCUUAGACAACUAGGAUGUUGGCUUAGAAGCAGCCACCAUUUAAAGAGUGCGUAAUAGCUCACUAGUCGAGUGACUCUGCGCCGAAAAUGUACCGGGGCUAAAUACACCACCGAAGCUGCGGAUUGAUACCAAUGGUAUCAGUGGUAGGGGAGCGUUCUAAGGACAGUGAAGUCAGACCGUAAGGACUGGUGGAGUGCUUAGAAGUGAGAAUGCCGGUAUGAGUAGCGAAAGACGGGUGAGAAUCCCGUCCACCGAAUGCCUAAGGUUUCCUGAGGAAGGCUCGUCCGCUCAGGGUUAGUCAGGACCUAAGCCGAGGCCGACAGGCGUAGGCGAUGGACAACAGGUUGAUAUUCCUGUACCACCUCUUUAUCGUUUGAGCAAUGGAGGGACGCAGAAGGAUAGAAGAAGCGUGCGAUUGGUUGUGCACGUCCAAGCAGUUAGGCUGAUAAGUAGGCAAAUCCGCUUAUCAUAAAGGCUGAGCUGUGAUGGGGAAGCUCCUUAUGGAGCGAAGUCUUUGAUUCCCCGCUGCCAAGAAAAGCUUCUAGCGAGAUAAAAGGUGCCUGUACCGCAAACCGACACAGGUAGGCGAGGAGAGAAUCCUAAGGUGUGCGAGAGAACUCUGGUUAAGGAACUCGGCAAAAUGACCCCGUAACUUCGGGAGAAGGGGUGCUUUCUUAACGGAAAGCCGCAGUGAAUAGGCCCAAGCGACUGUUUAGCAAAAACACAGCUCUCUGCGAAGCCGUAAGGCGAAGUAUAGGGGGUGACACCUGCCCGGUGCUGGAAGGUUAAGGAGAGGGGUUAGCGUAAGCGAAGCUCUGAACUGAAGCCCCAGUAAACGGCGGCCGUAACUAUAACGGUCCUAAGGUAGCGAAAUUCCUUGUCGGGUAAGUUCCGACCCGCACGAAAGGUGUAACGAUUUGGGCACUGUCUCAACCAGAGACUCGGUGAAAUUAUAGUACCUGUGAAGAUGCAGGUUACCCGCGACAGGACGGAAAGACCCCGUGGAGCUUUACUGUAGCCUGAUAUUGAAUUUUGGUACAGUUUGUACAGGAUAGGCGGGAGCCAUUGAAACCGGAGCGCUAGCUUCGGUGGAGGCGCUGGUGGGAUACCGCCCUGACUGUAUUGAAAUUCUAACCUACGGGUCUUAUCGACCCGGGAGACAGUGUCAGGUGGGCAGUUUGACUGGGGCGGUCGCCUCCUAAAGUGUAACGGAGGCGCCCAAAGGUUCCCUCAGAAUGGUUGGAAAUCAUUCGUAGAGUGCAAAGGCAUAAGGGAGCUUGACUGCGAGACCUACAAGUCGAGCAGGGACGAAAGUCGGGCUUAGUGAUCCGGUGGUUCCGCAUGGAAGGGCCAUCGCUCAACGGAUAAAAGCUACCCCGGGGAUAACAGGCUUAUCUCCCCCAAGAGUCCACAUCGACGGGGAGGUUUGGCACCUCGAUGUCGGCUCAUCGCAUCCUGGGGCUGUAGUCGGUCCCAAGGGUUGGGCUGUUCGCCCAUUAAAGCGGUACGCGAGCUGGGUUCAGAACGUCGUGAGACAGUUCGGUCCCUAUCCGUCGUGGGCGUAGGAAAUUUGAGAGGAGCUGUCCUUAGUACGAGAGGACCGGGAUGGACGCACCGCUGGUGUACCAGUUGUUCUGCCAAGGGCAUAGCUGGGUAGCUAUGUGCGGAAGGGAUAAGUGCUGAAAGCAUCUAAG